Molecule: ribosomal RNA, 822 nt
Filed under: Flavocetraria cucullata
Lineage: Eukaryota; Fungi; Ascomycota; Lecanoromycetes; Lecanorales; Parmeliaceae
Description: SSU rRNA
Rfam family: Bacterial small subunit ribosomal RNA
Source: RNAcentral
AAUGUAUAGCAAUAGCUACUUGCAUCAUUCUAAAUAUGAUGCAAGAUCGACUAUGUCGAAUAAAAUUCUAGGUAGAAUUAUGAUAAUGACAUUGUCUGCCUAUGUGUCUUGACCAAAUUACGUGCCAGCAGUCGCGGUAAUACGUAGAAGACUAGUGUUAUUCAUGUUUAAUCGGUUUAAAGGGUACCUAGACGGUAAAUCAAGCCUAAAAGGAAAUAAAUGAAGGGACUAAUUUACUAGAGUUACUUAUGAGGGGGUAUUAAAGUACUGCUGGUGUAGAGAUGAAAUUCUGUCAUACCUCUUUUCAAUAGAAAAAUAAUGGCACAGGUAUAGGCGAAAGCAUCCCCUUAUGUGAUAACUGACGUUGAGGGACGAAGGCUUUGUGUAGCGAACAGGAUUAGAUACCCCAGUAGUCAAAGCAGAAAAUGAUGAAUGUCAUAGAUUAGAUAUAUAAGUUUAUUCUAUAAAUGAAAGUGUAAGCAUUCCACCUCAAGAGUAAUUUGGCAACAUUGGAACUGAAAUCAUUAGACCGUUUCUGAAACCAGUAGUGAAGUAUGUUGUUUAAUUUGAUGAUCCGCAAAAAACCUUACCACAAUUUGAAUAUUUAUAUCUUUUGUUGUUUUUCUUUUUAACUUUCUUCUGAUUUUCUACUUAAAAGAAAACAAUAACAAGAAAAAAGAGGCAAUAAGAUAUAUUUACAAGCGUUGCACGGCUGUCUUCAGUUAAUGUCGCGAGACUCUGGUUAGUUCCAUUAAAUUAACGUAAACCCUUACUUUAUUUUUAUAUAGAGUAGUUCCCCGCUAUAUUGGAUAUGAUAACAGG